AGUCAACACAACCAAAACUCAUAUAUGCUAGUGGUGAAUCUGGGGCAUAAUGUUGAAUUUCUGAACCUGUAAUAACUUCUGGUGCAAAGGAUUGUCAUGAAAACAGGAUUAUAACCUUAGUGAAUAAUUAAAAUAUGAAGACAAUUUAUAACACAGCCUGAAGUAACAAGACACUGUCAGGGUGUGAGAGGAAAACUGCAUUUGGCUGCCAAGAACUUACCUGAAAACAUCUGUGAAAGUCCCUAGCUCCAGACUGCCAGCGGAGAGACAAGAUGGCAGCUUCUUCCUUCAUGAACAACCUUCCGUUUUCAUUAUGCUUCACAAUUGACAAAUCAUUUGUGAUUUGCACACGCGUCUACCACUUUUCUAAUACGUUUUUAAACAAACUUAGGUUUUCCUUCAGAUGAACCAUCCCCAACAAAACCUCAGUAAGGAGUAAAUUCAUCCCUCAGCCAGGGGUUAGCACAAAACCUGCACACCUCUUAAAGCCUGAGUCUUUACAUGAGACCUGAAGUUAUGCAUAAACCUUGUGCUGGGUCUUUCCACAGGCAUGAAUUCCAUCCUGCUCUCUGUACAUGAUUGCAGCAAGGUCAUUUUCCAGCACACACAGCCCUUUGAUAGAGGAUACACACACACACAAACACACACACACACACACUUGGUAGAACCCUCCCAUUUCCCAGGAGCUGGAAUACCUAACUCCUCCCACACCCCAGAGAUAAAAUAUAAUAAAACUAUUUUCCCCAAAAUCCAAAAAUUUAUAUUAAAAAAAGGUAAAGAGAAUUUCACUGACUUCUUUCACACACAGUUGUGAUGCAGGACCUGUAGUCCUCAUGGCUGUGGACCUCCUGGCUCUAGAGGGUCUGGGCAGCAGGCUGGGUGGCAGGCCCUAAGUGAAAACAGUUAACCAGUUAACCCUUUUAACUCCUCUAAGUGCAACCCAGAAAGAGUUUGUUCUUGUUUGAGAUAAUGUGUCUUUAGUACAACCCCUAGUCUCGGUGAAGAGGAUCAGAGCAGAAUUCCUGCGAAAGAUGAAUUGUUGCCUAAAGAGGUUCCUGAGCCGAAGAAUUCUCAGGUUUUUGUCUCUUUUCUACACUGAUGCUGUGCUUGCACGUGGGGAAGCAUUGUCUCUCGGAAGUGCCCAGAAGUGGUGUGUGAAUUUGCCAGGUUACUGGGCGGGAGCUUGAGUCACUUCUGUGUUGGAUGGAUGGAGAGGAACCCCUAGAUACUG
Molecule: non-coding RNA, 1231 nt
Organism: Pelodiscus sinensis (Chinese soft-shelled turtle)
Lineage: Eukaryota; Metazoa; Chordata; Testudines; Trionychidae
Source: RefSeq, a predicted model, not a curated record